Long non-coding RNA from Notothenia coriiceps (black rockcod), 199 nucleotides. RefSeq lists it as uncharacterized. The record is from RefSeq and is a predicted model, not a curated record. Lineage: Eukaryota; Metazoa; Chordata; Actinopteri; Perciformes; Nototheniidae. The transcript is spliced from 2 exons.
CUGAAACUCUUCAGAGCUUCUCUUUCACAGAGGGGACACAUGUUGAUGCUAGAAUAGACAUGAAGAGAUGGGGACACAAGUGAUGUAGAAGAGACAUGAAGAAGAAGGGAACACAGUGUGAUGUAGAAGGACAAUGAAGAGAGGGGACACAAGUUGAUGUAGAAGGACAUGAAGUAAGACGGGGACACAUGUUGAUGUA